This 461-nucleotide ribosomal RNA is filed under the name Escherichia coli. RNAcentral describes it as "partial 23S ribosomal RNA". It matches the Rfam family "Bacterial large subunit ribosomal RNA", at positions 211 to 713 of the family's 2925-position model. The record is from RNAcentral. Lineage: Bacteria; Pseudomonadati; Pseudomonadota; Gammaproteobacteria; Enterobacterales; Enterobacteriaceae.
CCGAGGAAAAGAAAUCAACCGAGAUUCCCCCAGUAGCGGCGAGCGAACGGGGAGCAGCCCAGAGCCUGAAUCAGUGUGUGUGUUAGUGGAAGCGUCUGGAAAGGCGCGCGAUACAGGGUGACAGCCCCGUACACAAAAAUGCACAUGCUGUGAGCUCGAUGAGUAGGGCGGGACACGUGGUAUCCUGUCUGAAUAUGGGGGGACCAUCCUCCAAGGCUAAAUACUCCUGACUGACCGAUAGUGAACCAGUACCGUGAGGGAAAGGCGAAAAGAACCCCGGCGAGGGGAGUGAAAAAGAACCUGAAACCGUGUACGUACAAGCAGUGGGAGCACGCUUAGGCGUGUGACUGCGUACCUUUUGUAUAAUGGGUCAGCGACUUAUAUUCUGUAGCAAGGUUAACCGAAUAGGGGAGCCGAAGGGAAACCGAGUCUUAACUGGGCGUUAAGUUGCAGGGUAUAGA